RNAcentral lists this ribosomal RNA (355 nucleotides) under uncultured bacterium. Its description in RNAcentral is "bacterial SSU rRNA". It matches the Rfam family "Bacterial small subunit ribosomal RNA", at positions 917 to 1267 of the family's 1533-position model. The record is from RNAcentral.
GGACCCGCACAAGCGGUGGAGUAUGUGGCUUAAUUCGAUGCAACGCGAAGAACCUUACCUAGGCUUGACAUGCUUGUCGUACUCUCCCGAAAAGGAGAGGUCACUUCGGGUGGACAAUGCACAGGUGCUGCAUGGCCGUCGUCAGCUCGUGUCGUGAGAUGUUUGGUUAAGUCCAGCAACGAGCGCCAACCCCUGUGAACUGUUGCCAGCGCGUAAAGGCGGGGACUCUGUUCAGACUGCCCAGAUCAACUGGGAGGAAGGUGGGGAUGACGUCAAAUCAUCACGGCCCUUACGUCCUGGGCUACACACGUGCUACAAUGGCCGGUACAGAGAGCAGCCACUUCGCAAGAAGGAG